RNAcentral lists this long non-coding RNA (201 nucleotides) under Brassica rapa (field mustard). Its description in RNAcentral is "long non-coding RNA (BRAP_LNC004470)". Lineage: Eukaryota; Viridiplantae; Streptophyta; Magnoliopsida; Brassicales; Brassicaceae. The record is from RNAcentral.
UGGCAUAUUCAAACUCUUGGACUUCAAUUAUCUCACCUUAACUAAAAAAGGAGAGAUUAAUCAACAAACAAGCUUAGCUUUGUGUUUUAUUCGUCUAUUUCAUUUGUUAAGUCAUCAUCCUUGGUCACUAGGAUGCAGUUUAGAAGCAAGUCUAUAAAAAAGGAAAAUAGCAGGGAGUAUUCCAAGUUAAUUCAGUACUAG